GACACGACUCUCGGCAACGGAUAUCUCGGCUCUCGCAUCGAUGAAGAACGUAGCAAAAUGCGAUACCUGGUGUGAAUUGCAGAAUCCCGCGAACCAUCGAGUUUUUGAACGCAAGUUGCGCCCGAGGCCUUCUGGCCAAGGGCACGUCUGCCUGGGCGUCACGC
Molecule: ribosomal RNA, 164 nt
Filed under: Saccharum spontaneum (wild sugarcane)
Lineage: Eukaryota; Viridiplantae; Streptophyta; Magnoliopsida; Poales; Poaceae
Description: 5.8S ribosomal RNA
Rfam family: 5.8S ribosomal RNA
About the family: 5.8S ribosomal RNA (5.8S rRNA) is a component of the large subunit of the eukaryotic ribosome. It is transcribed by RNA polymerase I as part of the 45S precursor that also contains 18S and 28S rRNA.
Source: RNAcentral